GCCUUGGUGGCUUAGUGGUCAAAGCACUCGCGAGGUCGUGGGUUCAAUCCCAGCCGAGGCA
Molecule: transfer RNA, 61 nt
Filed under: Diaphorina citri (Asian citrus psyllid)
Lineage: Eukaryota; Metazoa; Arthropoda; Insecta; Hemiptera; Psyllidae
Rfam family: tRNA
About the family: Transfer RNA (tRNA) molecules are approximately 80 nucleotides in length. Their secondary structure includes four short double-helical elements and three loops (D, anti-codon, and T loops).
Source: Rfam by way of RNAcentral